GGACAAAAACGACGCUUUAACCCCACAGCCUGUUUCCGCCAUAGCACCUCCUCCACCGCCGCCGCCUUCCUCCGACGGUGCCACCAUCGAGGUUGUCCGCCGUCCACGUGGCCGUCCUCCUGGUUCCAAAAACCGACCUAAACCGCCUGUUAUCAUUACACGUGAUGCUGAACCAUCUAUGAGCCCUUAUAUUCUUGAAAUUCCAAUUGGUGUUGACAUAAUCAACUCUAUCACCAAAUUUUGCAGAACACGGAAUAUGGGCCUUUGCGUUCUCAACGGUUCAGGUACUUAUUUAAUAUAACUAGUCACUUAAGUACCUACUUUACUUUCAAUUUGGCCAAAACAAAUCCCUUGAAUAUGGGUUUCUGUUCAGGUACUUAUUUAAUAUAAUUAGUCACUUAGUACGCACUUUACUUUCAGCAAAAAAUCCCUUGAAUAUGGCGUCUUUGUAUUUUCAAUGGCUCAGGUACUGUUACAAAUGUUACUCUAAGGCAGCCUUCAACAACGCCAGUUUCAACAGUUACUUUUCAUGGUAGAUUUGAUAUACUCUCAAUUUCAGCUACAAUUGUUCAACCAAAUGCGAGUGUUCCAUCAAAUAACAAUGGGAUAGCAAAUGGGUUCACAAUUUCAUUGGCGGGUCCACAAGGUCAAGUGGUGGGUGGGGGUGUAGUUGGGCCACUUGUAACUGCAGGAACUGUGUACUUAGUAGCUGCAACUUUUAACAGCCCAUCUUUUCAUAAGUUACCUGUUGAGGAGGAAUUAGGUAGGAAUUCUGGUGGUGGUGGAGGAAAUGAGGGUAGUGGCCGUCAGUCGCCGCCGCCGCAUACGGUGGUUUCCGGCGGAGAAGAUAGUGGACAUCCACCGACUACGACGGCGCCGGAAUCUUGUGGGAUGUCUAUGUAUAGUUGUCAUUUGCCGUCGGAUGUGAUAUGGGCACCUACGGCUAGACAACCACCACCUCCUCCACCACCUUACUGAAGAUACGUUUUGUUCAUGUUCUUGGAAUGUGUGGUAUCUUUUGUCAUAUUUGUUUCACUAACGCUACUUUUUGAUUUUGGAUUUUCUUGUUUUUGGUUUUGCUUAGUUUAUUUAGUUGACUUUAGAUUUUGUACUUUUAUCUUAAUUAAAAAUGUACUGCCUUAGCACUUUUUUGUUGUUU
Molecule: long non-coding RNA, 1159 nt
Filed under: Nicotiana tabacum (common tobacco)
Lineage: Eukaryota; Viridiplantae; Streptophyta; Magnoliopsida; Solanales; Solanaceae
Description: long non-coding RNA (NTAB_LNC014488)
Source: RNAcentral